Long non-coding RNA from Homo sapiens (human), 1262 nucleotides. Ensembl annotates it as long intergenic non-protein coding RNA 1194. NCBI's taxonomy places the organism in Eukaryota, Metazoa, Chordata, Mammalia, Primates, Hominidae. The record is from Ensembl.
GGUUCCCGCCUGCGCCUCUCCCUCCACACCGCCUUGCAAGCUGAGGGAGCCGGCUCCGGCCUCUGCCAGCCCAGGAAGGGGCUCCCACAGUGCAGCGGCGGGCUGAAGGACUCCUCAAGUGCCACCAAAGUGGGAGCCCAGGCAGAGGAGGCGCCGAGAGCGAGCGAGGGCUGCCUGCCAGCACGCUGUCACGUCUCAGCAAUAGACUGCUCUUGAGGGAUGGCUAUUUUUGUUACUUCUGAAUUCUACUACAAAAGAGUGCUGCAAUAAAAAUCUUUGAACAAGUUCUAAUGCCGUUCAACUGGAAUUGAAGUUUUCAAUCGUUGGAUAUGUCAAAAUUUAAUCAGAUUGUAUAUUGCUCAAUUACUUUCAAAUUAUGUACACCAAGUCAUUCUUGCUCUGGCAAAAUAAGAAUAUUUUCAUUAAUAUAUCAUUCAACUUGAAAUUGCCCAGCUUUUCCUUCUCAUUUCCCCCCAGUCAAAUGAGUUGAAUUAAUACUGUCUAAAAAUAUAUAUUCAUUUGCUUACCUGUUAGUAUUUGUUCCAUGUAUUAAGAAGCUUUGCUAGUAUAUGAAAAUAUAUGUAUUACCAUGUCUUGUGAAUUAGUACUUUUAUCAUUUUGAAAUGUUUGUUUUCAUUUCUGCUGACCGUUCUAACCUGGGUAUCUAUUUUGACUGGUUUUUAAUGUAACUACUAACAUCUUUUUAUGUUCAGCACUUUUUCACAAUUUUACUUUCAAUGUCUUUAUUUUUAAAAUGUAUCUUCUGUAGACAGUGUACAGGUGGUCUUGUUUUAUUGUAAAUCAAGUGACAAUCUCUAUUUCAUAAUUGACAUAUUUAAUCCAUAUAUAUUUAAUUUAAUUGUUGUUAUUUUGAGACUUAAUAUCCAGUUUUACUAUUUUGGCCCAUUUAUUUUUGGUUUAUUUUAGAUGUCUUGCCUUAUCUUAGAUUGAUUGAUAUUUUUAGUAUUUAAUUACAUUUCUUUUAUAAAUGUAAUUUCUUGAAUAUUUGUUUUUAUUUUAGCAAUUGCUCUGGGAAUAUAAAAAUCAUCUUUAAAAUCUAUUUAGAGUUAAUGGUACUACUUUAUGCAGUAGGUAAAAACAUUUCACUAGCACAAUUUCAUUUGCAGGCACCUAACCUUCUGUGAUAGUAUUGUCUUAUAUUGUUAUAUUUAUGAGAUACAAUCACUACAGUAAAAUACUAUUUUCUAUUCAUUGUGCCAUCUUAUAAAUAAACAGAUGAAUAAACAGAUAUUUUUGAACAA